Molecule: ribosomal RNA, 468 nt
Filed under: uncultured bacterium
Lineage: Bacteria
Description: partial 16S ribosomal RNA
Rfam family: Bacterial small subunit ribosomal RNA
Source: RNAcentral
GACGAACGCUGGCGGCGUGCUUAACACAUGCAAGUCGAACGGAAAGGCCCUGCUUUUGUGGGGUGCUCGAGUGGCGAACGGGUGAGUAACACGUGAGUAACCUGCCCUUGACUUUGGGAUAACUUCAGGAAACUGGGGCUAAUACCGGAUAGGAGCUCCUGCUGCAUGGUGGGGGUUGGAAAGUUUCGGCGGUUGGGGAUGGACUCGCGGCUUAUCAGCUUGUUGGUGGGGUAGUGGCUUACCAAGGCUUUGACGGGUAGCCGGCCUGAGAGGGUGACCGGCCACAGUGGGACUGAGAUACGGCCCAGACUCCUACGGGAGGCAGCAGUGGGGAAUAUUGCACAAGGGGCGGAAGCCUGAUGCAGCAACGCCGCGUGCGGGAUGACGGCCUUCGGGUUGUAAACCGCUUUCGCCUGUGACGAAGCGUGAGUGACGGUAAUGGGUAAAGAAGCACCGGCUAACUACGUG